AGAGUUUGAUCCUGGCUCAGGACGAACGCUGGCGGCGUGCCUAACACAUGCAAGUCGAACGGAAACUUGAAUUUCGGUUUAAGUUUUAGUGGCGAACGGGUGAGUAACGCGUGAGAAACCUGCCUCUCAGAGGGGGACAACAGUUGGAAACGACUGCUAAUACCGCAUGAUACUUUCGGACCGCAUGGUCUGAAAGUCAAAGCUUAAUGUGCUGAAAGAUGGUCUCGCGUCUGAUUAGCUAGAUGGCGGGGUAACGGCCCACCAUGGCGACGAUCAGUAGCCGGUCUGAGAGGAUGAACGGCCACAUUGGGACUGAGAUACGGCCCAGACUCCUACGGGAGGCAGCAGUGGGGAAUAUUGGGCAAUGGGGGAAACCCUGACCCAGCAACGCCGCGUGAAGGAAGAAGGCCUUCGGGUUGUAAACUUCUUUUACCAGGGACGAAGAACGUGACGGUACCUGGAGAAAAAGCAACGGCUAACUACGUGCCAGCAGCCGCGGUAAUACGUAGGUUGCAAGCGUUGUCCGGAUUUACUGGGUGUAAAGGGCGUGUAGGCGGACAUGCAAGUUGGGAGUGAAAUCCCGGGGCUCAACCCCGGAACUGCUUUCAAAACUGCAUCCCUUGAAUAUCGGAGAGGGAAGCGGAAUUCCUAGUGUAGCGGUGAAAUGGGUAGAUUUUAGGAGGAACCCCCGUGGGGAAGGCGGCUUUGUGGACUGACACUGACGGUGAGGCUGGAAAGCGUGGGGAGCCAACCGGAUUAGAUUCCCUGGUAGUUCCCGCUGUAAACGAUGAAUACUAAGUGGUGGGAGGGAGUGACCCCUUCCGUGCCGCAGUUAACACAAUAAGUAUUCCACCUGGGGAGUACGACCGCAAGGUUGAAACUCAAAGGAAUUGACGGGGGCCCGCACAAGCAGUGGAUUAUGUGGUUUAAUUUGUCGCAACGCGAAGAACCUUACCAGGAUUUGACAUCCAACUAACGAAGUAGAGAUACAUUAGGUGCCCUUCGGGGAAAGUUGAGACAGGUGGUGCAUGGUUGUCGUCAGCUCGUGUCGUGAGAUGUUGGGUUAAGUCCCGCAACGAGCGCAACCCCUAUUGUUAGUUGCUACGCAAGAGCACUCUAGCGAGACUGCCGUUGACAAAACGGAGGAAGGCGGGGACGACGUCAAAUCAUCAUGCCCUUUAUGUCUUGGGCUACACACGUAAUACAAUGGCCGUCAACAGAGGGAAGCAAUACCGCGAGGGGGAGCAAAUCCCUAAAAACGGUCUCAGUUCGGAUUGCAGGCUGCAACUCGCCCGCAUGAAGCUGGAAUUGCUAGUAAUCGCGGAUCAGCAUGCCGCGGUGAAUACGUUCCCGGGCCUUGCACUCACCGCCCGUCA
This 1376-nucleotide ribosomal RNA is filed under the name uncultured bacterium. RNAcentral describes it as "bacterial SSU rRNA". It matches the Rfam family "Bacterial small subunit ribosomal RNA". The record is from RNAcentral.